GACGUAGGUGGCGAACGUUAUCCGGAAUUAUUGGGCGUAAAGGGUGCGUAGGUGGGCAGUUAAGUCAGUGGUGAAAUCUCCGGGCUUAACCCGGAAACUGCCAUUGAUACUAUCUGUCUUGAAUAUCGUGGAGGUAAGCGGAAUAUGUCAUGUAGCGGUGAAAUGCUUAGAUAUGACAUAGAACACCAAUUGCGAAGGCAGCUUACUACCCGAAUAUUGACACUGAGGCACGAAAGCGUGGGGAUCAAACAGG
Molecule: ribosomal RNA, 253 nt
Filed under: uncultured bacterium
Lineage: Bacteria
Description: partial 16S ribosomal RNA
Rfam family: Bacterial small subunit ribosomal RNA
Source: RNAcentral